RNAcentral lists this ribosomal RNA (493 nucleotides) under uncultured bacterium. RNAcentral describes it as "partial 16S ribosomal RNA". It matches the Rfam family "Bacterial small subunit ribosomal RNA", at positions 28 to 523 of the family's 1533-position model. The record is from RNAcentral.
GAUGAACGCUGGCGGCGUGCCUAACACAUGCAAGUGGAGCGACGAACCUCCUUCGGGAGGGGCAAAGCCGCGAACGGGUGAGUAACACGUGGGUUAUCUGCCCCAAUGACCGGGACACCUCGCGGAAACUCGAGCUAAUACCGGAUGUGCUCUUCGGAGGAAAGGAAGCUUCGGCCUCCGCAUUGGGAUGAGCCCGCGGCGCAGUAGCUAGUUGGGGGGGUAACGGCUCACCAAGGCGACGAUGCGUAGCUGGUCGGAGAGGACGAUCAGCCCCACUGGAACUGAGACACGGUCCAGACUCCUACGGGAGGCAGCAGUGGGGAAUCUUGCGCAAUGCACGAAAGUGUGACGCAGCAACGCCGCGUGCGGGAAGAAGGUCUUCGGAUCGUAAACCGCUUUCAGUUGGGACGAGGGUUACACGGUGAAUAGCCGGCGUAACUGACGGUACCUUCAGAAGAAGCCCCGGCUAACUACGUGCCAGCCGCCGCGGUAA